This 490-nucleotide ribosomal RNA is filed under the name uncultured soil bacterium. RNAcentral's name for it is "bacterial SSU rRNA". It matches the Rfam family "Bacterial small subunit ribosomal RNA", at positions 26 to 518 of the family's 1533-position model. The record is from RNAcentral.
AGAUUGAACGCUGGCGGCAUGCCUAACACAUGCAAGUCGAACGGGAGUAGCAAUACUCUAGUGGCGGACGGGUGAGGAAUACGUAGGAAUUUGCCCUUAAGUGGGGGAUAACCCGGGGAAACCCGGAUUAAUACCGCAUGACCUCGAAAGAGCAAAGUGGGGGAUCGCAAGACCUCACGCUUUUGGAGAAGCCUACGUCGGAUUAGCUAGUUGGUGAGGUAAUGGCUCACCAAGGCGACGAUCCGUAACUGGUCUGAGAGGAUGAUCAGUCACACCGGAACUGAGACACGGUCCGGACUCCUACGGGAGGCAGCAGUGGGGAAUAUUGGACAAUGGGCGCAAGCCUGAUCCAGCAAUGCCGCGUGUGUGAAGAAGGCCUUCGGUUGUAAAGCACUUAAGUUGGGAAGAAAAACUACGACGUCUAACAACAGUAGAGUCUUGACGGUACCGACAGAAUAAGACACCGGCUAACUCUAGUGCCAGCAGCCGC